RNAcentral lists this long non-coding RNA (956 nucleotides) under Nicotiana tabacum (common tobacco). RNAcentral describes it as "long non-coding RNA (NTAB_LNC015460)". Lineage: Eukaryota; Viridiplantae; Streptophyta; Magnoliopsida; Solanales; Solanaceae. The record is from RNAcentral.
UACAAAACAACGAGGAACGGUCAUGGUGGGUCAGUGAAUAUGGUUCCUUAGGUCUUAUGUGUUCGCCUGAAAUCAUUUUAGGCGAUCCGGUUUCGGGGCUAUAGCACACAAAAAAUAUGGGAAUCGGAUGGAAUUCUACCUUUUUGGCCGUAAAACACAAAAGAACGAGGAAUGGUCAUGGAGGGGUGGUGACUAUGAUUCCUUAGGUCAUAUUAGAUGGCCCGAACACAUUUUUGGUCGAUUGGGGUCUGGGGGCCCGGGCCUACUCGGAAGACGUGGGCUUUAGCACAUGAAAAUAUGAGAAUCGGACGGAAUUCUAGUAUUUUGGCCGGAAAACACAAAACAAAUGGGGAGAGGCCAUGGCGGGGUGGUGACUAUGGUUCCUUAGGUCGUAUUUGAUUGUCCAAAAAAUUUUUAGGCGAUCCGAGUCCGGGAGGCCCGACCCACUUGUAAGGCGUGGGCUAUAGCACAUGAAAAUAUGAGAAUUAGGCGGAAUUCUAGUUUUUUAUCCGUAAAACGCAAAACAUGAGGAACGAUCAUUGCGGAGUGGUAACUAGGGUUCCUUAGGUCGUAUUUCAUGGCCCGAAAACUUUUUAGGCGAUCGAGGUCCGAGGGCCCGCGCCCACUCGGAAGGCGUGUGCUAUAACUUUGUAUGACUUUUCUCUUCUAUGUUUUUGUAUUUCCUCCCUUUCCUUUUCUAUUUGUAUUUUUUUUAUCAUUGCUUCCAUUGAAUUCCGUGUUCUAUAAUGACAAAACCUCUUAUUUUAUUGAUCAUCAAAAUAUAAAAUUCGGGCAUUUCCUUCAAUUGGGUGGUUUUUCGUUUUUCAUUGGAACUCUACUAAAACUAAAAAAGAAAUCAAGUUUGCUUAUCUCACUUAACUUGAUUGAAUCCAUUAUGGAUUAAAUAAAUCUAAGUAAAUUGUAGUUUUGUUUUCCACUUAAUUUAUUUUCCCAUC